UGUCACCAGGUGUCUAGAUUAAUCCAGAUGGGUCACCAGGUGUCUAGAUUAAUCCAGAUGGGUCACCAGGUGUCUAGAUUAAUCCAGAUGGGUCACCAGGUGUCUAGAUUAAUCCAGAUGGGUCACCAGGUGUCUAGAUUAAUCCAGAUGGGUCACCAGGUGUCUCGAUUAAUCCAGAUGGGUCACCAGGUGUCUAGAUAAAUCCAGAUGAGUCACCAGGUGUCUAGAUGAGUCACCAGGUGUCUAGAUUAAUCCAGAUGGGUCACCAGGUGUCUAGAUUAAUCCAGAUGAGUCACCAGGUGUCUAGAUGAGUCACCAGGUGUCUAGAUUAAUCCAGAUGGGUCACCAGGUGUCUAGAUUAUUCCAGAUGAGUCACCAGGUGUCCAGAUGGGUCACCAGGUGUCUAGAUGUGUCCAGAUGGGUCACCAGGUGUCUAGAUUAAUCCAGAUGAGUCACCAGGUGUCCAGAUGGGUCACACCAGGUGUCUAGAUUAAUCCAGAUGAGUCACCAGGUGUCUAGAUGUGUCCAGAAGAGUCACCAGGUGUCUAGAUUAAUCCAGAUGGGUCACCAGGUGUCUAGAUGGGUCACCAGGUGUCUAGAUGUGUCCAAGUGUCACCAGGUGUCUAGAUUAAUCCAGAUGGGUCACCAGGUGUCUAGAUUAAUCCAGAUGGGUCACCAGGUGUCUAGAUGUGUCCAGAUGGGUCACCAGGUGUCUAGAUUAAUCCAGAUGGGUCACCAGGUGUCCAGAUGGGUCACCAGGUGUCUAGAUAAAUCCAGAUGGGUCACCAGGUGUCUAGAUUAAUCCAGAUGGGUCACCAGGUGUCUAGAUUAAUCCAAAUGGGUCACCAGGUGUCUAGAUUAAUCCAGAUGGGUCACCAGGUGUCUAGAUUAAUCCAGAUGGGUCUCCUUGUGUCUAGAUGGGUCACCAGGUGUCUUGAUUAAUCCAGAUGGGUCACCAGGUGUCUAGAUUAAUCCAGAUGGGUCACCAGGUGUCUAGAUUAAUCCAGAUGAGUCACCAGGUGUCUAGAUUAAUCCAGAUGGGUCACCAGGUGUCUAGAUGGGUCACCAGGUGUCUAGAUUAAUCCAUAUGGGUCACCAGGUGUGUAGAUUAAUCCAGAUGGGUCACCAGGUGUCUAGAUGUGUCCAGAUGGGUCACCAGGUGUCUAGAUUAAUCCAGAUGGGUCACCAGGUGUCUAGAUUAAUCCAGAUGGGUCACCAGGUGUCUAGAUGUGUCCAGAUGGGUCACCAGGUGUCUAGAUUAAUCCAGAUGGGUCACCAGGUGUCUAGAUUAAUCCAGAUGGGUCACCAGGUGUCUAGAUGUGUCCAGAUGGGUCACCAGGUGUCUAGAUUAAUCCAGAUGGGUCACCAGGUGUCCAGAUGGGUCACCAGGUGUCUAGAUAAAUCCAGAUGAGUCACUAGGUGUCUAGAGGUGUCCAGAUGGGUCACCAGGUGUCUAGAUUAAUCCAGAUGGGUCAC
RNA transcript from Oncorhynchus keta (chum salmon), 1476 nucleotides. RefSeq lists it as uncharacterized. The record is from RefSeq and is a predicted model, not a curated record. The transcript has 10 exons. NCBI's taxonomy places the organism in Eukaryota, Metazoa, Chordata, Actinopteri, Salmoniformes, Salmonidae.